CAUGUCUUCAAUAAAAUGGCCUAAAGAAAAGUGUGAGGAUCCGCCAUCUAUCAUGACUUUAUGACUUAUUUUUUCCAUUUCUUUCCUCUUCUUCCUCACUUCACUAUUAAUAUUCAUUAGGUUCCUUAAUCCAUUUUCAAUCUCAUGAGCACUUACAAUAUGAUCACGAUCCUUAUUGUAAUCUAUUUUAAUUUCUACUGCCAACCCCAAAUCUUUCACCAUUUGAAAUGCGUUGAUUUGUUGUUCUGCAUAUAUUGGCCAUGUGGCUACUGGAACACCAUACCAUACGCUUUCUAGCAAAGAAUUCCACCCACAAUGAGAUACAAAUCCUCCAACAGCUGAGUGGGCUAAAACCGCUAUUUGUGGAGCCCAUCCAAUCACCUUUCCAAUUCUAGCCGUCCGAUGUAAAAAUCCUUCUGGUAGAACUUGCUCAAUAUUUUCAUGGUCGCUUGGAAUCAUUUUACCCUUUGGGGGAGGUUGGCGAAGGGACCACAAGAAGCGAUGCCCACUGUGCUCUAACGCAUGUGCUAUCUCCUUGAUUUGAUCCGCACCAAAGCUUCCCAUGCUCCCGAAGCACAGGAAAACCACGGACGAUGGAGGCUGAUCAUCAAGCCAAUUCAUGAUGGCACUAGCAUCUUGUUGACCCCCACCAGAUCCCAUUCGGGUGUUGAGUAUGGGUCCAACGGGAUACACCUCGGGUACUGUACUGCCAGAAAGUGAUUGAAUGGCAUGUGAUUCAAGCUCAAUAAACGUAUUUACCAGAAUACCCUUGACUUCUCUGAAUCUCCUCGUGUGAUACAGAAGCAUCUCAGCCCCUCCGCUUUCCUUGUCAAACAUCCCAGCAGGGAAGACCUUACCCGGAAUUGAGUUAACAAAAGUCGGAACAUCCAACUCAGCAUCCGAGUCCUUGAACUCAUUAAUAUCCAAGCCCUCAUAAUCAUGGAGGAACUGAACAUGUAACAGGAAGCCAAGAACAGCAGCGCCGGAAGAGAAGAAGAGAUAGGAAGGCACCCCAAACUCAUCGGCCACGUCAAUCAUGUGGGUGCAGAACAUAUCAAUAACGAACCCAGAGAGCCGAACCGAGUUGGAGCGAGUGAGCUCGUGGACGGCGUCUCGGACGAGUGGUAUGUGAACUUUGAGGAAUUCAGAGAAGAAGUGACCAGACGGGGUCGUUUCGGAGCUGACCUCUACAGGAGGAAGUGUGACGAAACGUAUGGAAUCAGAGUCCGUGUCCAUACCAUCAGUGGACCCAAACGGAAACUUCAUGAUGAAAAUCGUGAUUGAGAAUCGGGGGUCUCGCUUAGUAAUCAGCUUUGCAAUCUCCAGUGCAGACGCAAGGUGGCCGAUGACAGGAAAUGGGAUGAAGACCAGCUCAGUUUGCUCCAUCACCAACUAGCAGUUACUGCCAAGACAGAAAAAAGGGAUGUUUCGAGGGCUUUGCGGUGGUGUCACGCUCUUAUACUAGUGGCUGGAUAGUAUUGGAGGGCAAAGGAACCGAUGUCAAGUCUUAGCUGGUUCAAUGUAUUUUCUUUAUUGUUUUUGUAUGAUUUGUGGUUGGCGUUGGUUGAAGAUUGAGGCAAAAUGGGUGGUUCCAAUAUGCUACACCUUUCACAUAAAGUUCUUGGAGAUAUUUGGGUCAAAAUUUGUAAAUCCAACCUCUAUAUUGGUUUAAAGCUCCGUAAAUAAAAAUUUUAAAGGAAUAAAAACAUCUUAAUUUAAAAAAAUAAAAAAUAAAAAUUUGCUUUAGCAUAUAUGAAUGAUAUUUUUAUUUAAAAAAUAUUAUCAUUUUCGAUAUUUAAAAAAAUAAAGAGAAUUGUUUGAAUUAGAGAUUUUUUAAUUAUUUUAAUCAAAUAUCUCCAAUUUUCUUUUUUGUUUUUAUAAUGAUUUUUCAUUAACCAAACAAAAUAAGUAAGAAAUAUUAUCUUGAUAUUAGAAACAUAUUUCGGGGCAAUACUCACAAUUUUUUAUACAUAAAUAGGAUAUAUUAAAUUAGUAAAUUUUAAAUCUAUUCAAAUUGAUUCCAUUGUCAUAUAGGUUGAUUAUUGGGAUUUAAUUAUUACUUUUGAUCAACGAGAAAUUAUACAAGUCAUAAUUCAAAAUAUAUUCAAUCACACAAGAAUAUAAAAAAUAUUCGAAAAAACUCUUACAAAAAUUGUCUCCGCCAAUUUAGAUACAAAAACUUAAACACAAUAUUAAAAAUCCACUAAAUAUAAAAGAAUGUACACAUUUUACCUAACCCCAAAUACUUCUUUUUAUAAAUGUUAUAUCAAUCAACACUUAUGCGUAUUCAUCAUAUCUACAAUGCAAUAUUUUUCUAUGCUCCUUAAUUAGUGGAUCUGCUCAAACCCAUAUUAUGGCUUUGGAGCUCAAAUUUUCGAACUUUGCUUUUCAUGCUAAUUGAAAGGACUCUCAAGAUUUACUUUUCAGACUUGAUUUUGACUUUUUGAAGUAUAGGAACUAGGAAAAAUAAUGGUUAUCUUGUGGAAUUUCUUAGGGGUUUUUUUUAUUUCAUACCCCAAAAUGAAUUUUUCAAAUCCUUUUCAUACCUAAACCUUGGUUUUUUUUUUUUUUUUUAGUUUUAUCAUAUUUUAAAACUUAAUCUAGAAAAAUAAGAAUUUUCAAUCAUCAAUUUUCCCAAAAAGAAAAAAAAAAUCUAGACAAAAACACCUAAAAACUUAAGUUACCACUAAAUUAUUAAUUUUAUAACACCACUAUACCAUUUUUAAUUUCAGACUCAGAACAUAAUUAUAUUUUGAGCUUCAAAUUUUGUGUCUUCAACUUGAAUAUGUUAGUAUAAUACUCAUUGUAGUGAAAGUAGUCUUGAUUUAAUAAUCUUAGGAGUAAAAUUGUCACUCCAUUGUAAUACACUAACAAAGUUAAUACCAUAUAAAAAUAAAUUUAGAAACAUAUUUUAUAUAAAAAAAAUAGUUCAAAUUUUGGAAAAGUCUAUAGCACUAAAUUAAUAUGAAUUAAAAUUCAAAUUUGGACCCUUUCAAUUGUCCAAUAAAAUUUUUGUAUUAAAUGAAAGGACAACUAUAUGAAACCAGAUUACAAACAAAGGAGACCAAGGUAUUAAAUAAUGGGACCAAAGUAUAAAGCAAUAACAUUACUAAGGUACAAUGCAAUGGGACCACAUUAGAGAUACAGAGUAAUGAGAUCAAAUUCUAGGUUGAAUAUUGACACAAAAGGUAGGUGUGUGGACCCCGCAUUUUCGCUCAAUGCGUUCCCACUCGAUUGCGAAACUUGUUUUUUUAUUUAUUUGCUGAAAAUUUUAUUUUUUUGAAAAAGACCUAGAGUUACUGCUUAUUUAUGUUUUAUUUUUAAAGGAAAAAACAAAAUAAGAAAAAAAAACCCUAAGUGUGACUUUGGAAGGAAAAAUAGGUCGGUGAAAAAUCGAGUUCGAGUCCGAGGGUCAGGUUACCUAUUAAGAAGGUACGGUGGUGAACUGUAACACUCCUCUAAGCCCUAUAAUAAGGUCUCUACUAAAUAAGGUGAAACAAGUGUGACAAUUGAUAAGGAAAUUAAUGGAUACGAAUGAAAUGAUAAAAUAAUAAAACAAAUCGAGCAUGAGAAUAAGCAAAGUGGGAGUGAGAGAGUACCUUGACAACAAAUAAUAGUGCACUAUCAUGGAAACAAGGUUAGCUCAAGUAUAAAAUUAUCACAUGCAUAUCAAAGAGCAAGACAAAGAUCAAACGAUAUUCAUUAAGCAUAGUAGUUGACAAUCGGAAGAUAUCAUAUGUAGGGCCCCCACCAAAGCCCAAUUGAUUUUGUUUGAAUUAAUCCCACAAAUUCCAGUGUUUUAGAAUUAUGAGAAUUGUCUUCAUGCUUAUUAAAAAUCAAGGAAAGCAUUUUAAAAUCAAGGAAAAUUUGUGAAAGUGCUUAUUUGAAAGGAAAUGUAGCAAGUUUAUUUAAAACGAGAAUUUUAGUGACUUAAAAUCCUAAUGAAUGAUGAAAAAUGGUAGAAUUAAAAAAUAUAUAUUUGAAAAUUGGAGUCAAAUUAAAAUUAUUUGAAAAACUAAAAUUUGAAAAUUAAGUCUCGAAAAUUAUUUGAAAAUUGAAGUUUUGAAAAUUAAAUUUAAGAAUUAGAAUUUUUGAAAUUAAAUUUGGAAAUUAUUUGAGAAUUGGGAUUUUGGAAAUUAUAUUUAAAAACCUAAGCUUUGAAUAUUAAUAUUUGAAAACGUGAAUUGGGAAUUGAGAAUUUUUGGAAAAUUUAUUUUAAGAUGACAUUUUAAAAAUUAAAUUUGGAAUCUAAGAAUUUUUGGAAAAUUUAUUUGAAGAUGGCAUUUUAAAAAUUAAAUUUGGAAUUUUGAAAAUUUUGGAAAUUUUGAAAAAUGGUAUUUUAAAGAUUAAAUUUGGAAAUUGGAAUUCUUGGAAAUUUUGGAAAUUUUGAGAAUUGAAGUUUUGAAAAUUAAAUUUAGGAAAUGGAACUUUGGAAAUUAAAUUUAAGAAUUGGAAUUUUGAAAAUUAAAUUUGAAAGAAAUUGGAAUUUUGAAAAUUAUUUGAGAAUUGGGAUUUUGGAAAUUAGAUUUAAAAACCUAAGCUUUGAAUAUUAAUAUUUGAAAACAUGAAUUGGGAAUUGAGAAAGAGAUGAGGGCAUUUAAAGAAAAUAAAAAAGAAAAUUGGCCCAUCAAAUGCUAAUGGUAUAUGCAGUGGCUUCAUAUAUUUUAUAAUAAGUUGUGUACAAUCAAAUUGUACUUUGUUGACUUUAUUUUUUUCUUUUGCUUCAUUUGAUCCAACCUUGUCUCUUAUUAUACUAAUGUUGUGGAUACCACGAAUUUGUGUAAGCUAAAUGAUGCAUUGGCCCACAAUGCUCGUAGCCCCACUUUGCACAAUAGCAUCAUUUGGACUUAGAUUGGCAAAGUCUUCAACCAUUCUUAGUGCGGUCAAAGGAUUAAUAAUAACAGUGGCUGCAUAUUCCACUCCUCCAAGGGAACUUCCCUCACCUGCUCACACAACGCUUCACCUCCGCCUCCGGUAAAGGCUUACAGUCCAUCAGUUAUCAAUUUGUUUUUCAUAGGCAAGUGAAAAAAAAAAAGCAAAAGACAAAGAAAAAUGGGUCUCCCCGAAUCCGAAUAUGCUUACCAUUUUGAAUUAAAAUAGGAAAAACAUAAAAAAAAAAAAAAAACAAUUGCCACUUUUGGGUUGUUUCAGCGUGAAACUGAAGUUGAAUAAUGGAGGUGAAAGCUGAAAACCGAGAGGUAGCCAUUUGGGCUAUGAAAAUGAUUUAUAUAUUGGAUUAGUUUGAGGGUUGGCCAUUUAAACCAUGCACUGUGAACUUUUGCACCUUUCUCUUUGGCAGCUUGAGCCAACCAACUUACAAAAUGACAAAAAAUGAAACAAUGAUUCCAUGAGUUGUGUGUGUGCAGGUGGGUAAGAGUUGAAGGCAGAGCAUGCGCUCUUGCAGGCCACCACCCGCCUGUUGUCUUGAGAUCUCACUUGGAAACCCACCGGACACAUGGUGUUGAGGAGGUUGAGGUUGGAAAGAUGAGAUGUGGGGAUAAAUUAGGCUGGUGAUACACACAACACUAUACACUAGGAACACCCACCGAAAAUAGAGAAGAAUAACAAGAAAAGAGAGCAUCCAAAAAAAGGAAAAACAUAACUGCACCAGUGUUGACCUAAGAGCUCCUCCAAAAAAAUCCAAAUAUCCUUCCUAGUUGCUACCCGUUUUCUUGUCCUAUGCUUAGUUCAUUCCCCUCUUGCUUCCCCAGAAAAAUCCGUAGACCCUCACCCCCCCAACUGCCCUAAGAACCCACUCUCCAGAUUUUUUCUUUCCUAGCCUUCCGAAACUGAAAAUCUCCUCUACUCUUCCUUUGUUUUUCUCCCUAGAUAUCACCUUUCCUCUCACCCAUUCCAGUAGUCCCUAUCCACUUAGCCAGUACCCCAACCACCACCAUGGUGAGUUGGUGGUGUCCUUGGCCAUGCGUCCCAUGCAUGUGGCUCCUUCGAAAACCGGCCCCCCACUCCAAAAACCAAUUGUCAGCUCUCUCCUGCAUGGUGAAAAUGUGCUCCAAAAAUAACCAAAAAGACCUAGACCAAAAUGAGGGUCUAUAAGGUGGUUCUACAUUUCUCUCAUUUUAACUUAAAACAAAGAAUAAAAAUAUGAUUUAUAUUAUGAAAGUUUAGAACUUGCUUAUGAAAUACUUAGAGGCAAAUAGGUAGCUCUUUUUUUUAGCUCAAAUUUUUAUUUUUAAAUUUUUCUUUAAGUAUUAUAGAUAAAAUAAAAAAAUUCAAUGGCACAAAGAGAACCAUUUACAUGGAAAACCACCCAUAAAGUCUCCCAAAAACUUUAAAGAUGUGAAAACCAUGAGGUCAAAGACCAUAGUGAUAUAAUCCACUAAAUAAGAAAAACAGGUAUUUAUUUUUACUUUAUGGUUACUACUCCCUCAGACUUACUCCUCACAACUACAUUAAAUGUCAUGUCCAUGACAUAGCACCAUCGUGCUCCUCAAUGGACUCCUCAACACCUAGCAGAUGUGAUUCUCUCUCACAACCCUAAAAAAAAAAAUCACAAUCAAUAUGAAAGUUUCAUAUUCAGUGCACAGAAAAAAAAAAAAAAAACUUAAACCUUAUGCGUAUAAGUUCUUUGGAGAACUCUCCCAGUAGAUAUAUAUUAGAGAAAAUCUAGUGGACUUAGAAUUAAUUUAUAAAUCAUAUUUUAUCAAAAAUUAAUUUAGGAACUUAAGAAUCUUAGAAAGAUUUGGAAAGAUGUUUUUUUUUUUUUAAAAAAAAAAAAAACAAUUUAGGAAAUUUAAGAAUCUUAAAAAGAUUUUAUUUUUUUCAAUUAAAAAUAUUUAGAAAUAUUUUCUUUUUUAAAUUCUCAAUUUAAAAUUCUUUCAAAAUUAAUUUUAUGCUCAAUUUCCAUUCUUAUAAGUCCACUCUAUGUCUUUUAUAUCAUUAUUUUUAAUUAACUCAAUCAUACAUACCUAUUUAAUUCUAGGUUGAUUUUGUUAGCAACCUUUAAUCUUCAAAAUAUAUGUAAAUCACAAGAAAGUAUAUAUAGUCCUAAAACCAAAAUGGAUGGAAUAAAAUUGUCAACUUAAUCUAAAUAAUCUAAUCCACUAGCAACCUCCCCUUCUCUAGCAAUUUUUUGACAAAAUAAUGAUUACAUAAAUCUCCUAAUAUUCUCAAACAAAGUUUACAAAUUGCUUAUCAAUGUCACUCAUCUCAACCAAACAUCUUAUAAAUUGAUUUUCAAUAUCUACAACUCAUCUAAAAAAUUCUUGAAAUCUAAAACAUGUAAUUUUCAUAUUCUUAAUCAAUAAAACAUGUGAAAAGUAGUGUGUGUGAAAAAAACCAAUAAAAUAAUAUAAUAUGAUCACAAUCCAUCUUGCUUGGAAAAAUAUUUAUAUCUAAUUCAACUAGAAAAAAAAAGGAUAUCUUCAUUAAUAAAUAUUAAUACAAAUUAUCAAUUAGAUAUCAAAAUAAUCAUAUGAAUUUCUCCCUCCUUUUGUUCUUAAAUUACUAAAAUAUUCAUUUCUAAUCGUGUAAGUUUCACUUAGGGCUAAUAGAGUGCCAAAUAUGCAAUUCCUGCGGUAGAGGAGGUGACAUUCCAUAGUAGUGUGUGAUUUCAAAAUUGAGCAAAAUUUCAAAAUAAUUUUCAAAAUCAAGUUGAAUUUAUGAAACCACCAUUUCAACUUCAAAAUGGUCCUUCUGCUCUACCUAGUUGCCUUCUAAUGGCCAUAACCUAUUUGUUUUAGUUUUGAUUUGUGCACCAUUUGAAAUGUUGAACUCUUAACCUCUUAAGCUUCAAAACCAUAUAUAGCUUGCCCCAAAAAGAUCUUGGAAAGUGCUUUAAAAAUCAUGUCAAAUUCAAGGUAUGUCAUAUUGUUAUUGUAAGGUUUAAGUCUGAAAUUCCAUAUUAAGCAUGAUUGUAAUUAUUUCAAACAUUCUUCCUCAUGAUUGUUUGCCCUCUACCUCUAUCCAAAACAUUAGUUUUUCAUCUUUAAUGCUCAUAAAUUCCUUGUUUUUCCUUUGCCUUCUCAUGCCUUAUAAGUGUUGAAUCUCUCUUUAAGCAUAAUUGAUCUUAUACUCUACUUUGGAUGAAAGUGGCUUUAGCAACUUGUAUUCUUUUUCUCUUUCAAACCUGAAAUUAAACUCAAAAUAUAUGUUAGAUCCAUAAUUUAGGUUUUAACAUCAAUUUGAGUUAAGUUGGAUGAUGUGAGUUUUUUAUAUUGCAUAAAUCAUAUCAUAUAUGUGUUAUUAGAUCACAUAUUUUGGCUCCAAUAAACCCCCUUAAGAGUUUAAGGCUUGUGGCUUUAUCCAUUAUGUCUUCCAAAACGAAGAACCCUAGUCUCCAUCUUUAUGGAAAGGAUUUCACCAUUAUUACCUGUCAAAGUCCAAGUGAGAGUUAUCAAGUAGAAGAUUGCAAGGUAUUUGAGACUUACAUCAUCUUUUUUUUCAUUUGGAUUUUGGUCUAGGAACAUCUAGAUCAAAGGUAUGUUUUUUAAACCCUAGAUCUAUAGUUUUUGAAUUAUUAUCACUUUUGUUGUGUAGAUCUAGUGAGCCUAGAUAACUAAAGAGGAUGCACCUAUGAUCUAGGGUUAUCCAAAUGGGUUUAGUGCUUAAUGCCACCCCACCCUUUUAGUUCAUUAGUUUAAAGUCAGCAAACAAGAGUGAGUGUUGGGAUAAAGUUUGAAAUGCACAUACAUAAAGUUUAAGUCCAAUAGAUUCUCAUGUUCACAUAUAAUUGUUAUAAUCAAAAUGACACAUUUAGAAGAUAUUUCCCCAAGUUGUACCAUGAAAAGGUGGACAAAAUAUUUUUUUUUAAAAAUCUAAGAUGUAAUCAAAUCAUGCUAAGCACAAUGAAAGUGAUACUGCUUCACAAUCCAUAUGCUUUGGUGUUUUGAGCUCUCUAAGAAAAAAAGAUGGUUUAUUUUGCUUCACAAAUACAUCAAAGUUUCAUGGAUACCAAACAUCAAAUAUAUUGAUAUUAUUUAGAAUUAAUGAGCUUUUCAAUAUUACAUCUUAAAGGGAAGAUCAUAUAUCCUCAAAAAUGGGCAUAAACACACUCAUUCUAUGAACCUAGAGAAUUACCUUUUUUGGGAUCUAAAUAAUGUGAAGAAUAAAGAGAACCUAGGUGGCUUAAAGGCCAAACUACAUAAACCAAAAGAUGUGGUAAAUGUAGAAUGCAUGUCACACAAUUUGAAAAUGGCCAAAGAUGUAAUCAAAUACAAAAUUUGAAUAGCAAUAUCACCUUACAAGAUGAGUCCCUCAAUUUACAUAUACAAGUUGACACAUCAAAUGAGAAGGAUCAUGCUGAUAUUCUAGAACAUAGUAUGACUUGAGUAAUAACCUUUAUUUUAUUUAUUUAUUUAUAUAUACUUAUUUCACCAUUAUUUAUAAUGAUUUGGAGUAUUUAUGUAACUCUCAAAUUGUAUCUACAAGAUCACAUAUCUUUUUUUCAUGAAAAUAUGAAACUAGAUCAACAUAUCGACCAUUGAUUAGUUUACAUGUUCUGUUUGACUAAUCAAUUACAAUUAUUUACAUAGAUUAUUGUGAAGUUAAACAUAUAACUUAUAACUCAUAAGAUAUAAUUAGCAACUUAUGUCCUAUAUGUAGGAUGUGUAUCCACUUCACAUUGAUAACACUAUUGCUACAAUGGAUUCACAAGCAUUUUCUUCCAUAAAUAAGUUGUUCUUAAUUAUUUUACUCCUAUUUAGUAAAGUAUGAUAUUAUUGUAAUACAUGGAUUUAUUAAUAGUAUAUAUUAUCCAAAAUGAAUUUUUUUUUAUAAGUCAAAGCGGAUUAGGCCAUUGUAUUAUGCAAACAAAUAAGAGCAUAAAAAAUAGUGUUUUAAAAAGCGCAUUUCAGUACUCCCUAUGGCAGAAUAAAUUGAGUGGAAUUCAACUCUUAGGGGUAGAAUUUACCUAUGAAUAAAGUUAAAGCACUAUGUCAUAGCAACCUAAGAUUAAAAAGUCUACAGGAAGUGUUAAAAUAUAGCAAGUAUUUAUAACACCUACUAUUGAUUUGAUCAUAUUGUUCCCUAAAUAGUGAAUUGCUCUAGAGAGUAGUUUUCUAUAUAUAUAAGUGGAAUUAAAAAAAAAUGAAAGUAAACACAUUUGAUAUGAAAUUGCUUUACUUAGCACUUUGGAGAUCAAUAGGAAUGAAAUUUAUAACUAUUGAUACUCAUUCUUCUUUAUCAAAUCACCUCUUAAAUAAUGAACUGCUCUAAUAAUCAAGUUUCUAAGUAGGUUAUAUAUAUAUAUAUAUAUAUAUUGAGAGAUAGAGAGCAAAGCACACUCAUUUGAUGAAAGCAAUCUAUAGAGUGUUUAAGAUAUAACUAUAUUGGAAUUCUUGAAGAUUGUCUUCAUUUCCUUCUAUCUUGAACAACUUAAUUCAAAAUUGACUCUAAUUUAUUUAUAUUACUUUCAUAAUAAUUAUUUAUUUAUAGGUCUCAUUUCUUUGGCAAAAUAUGCUUUAACCCUCAUAGGUUUUAAAUUUUAUCAAAAACCUCCCUUAUUUUGAGUGAGAUAGGAGAUUAAUGAAAAGCUAAAAGAGGUAUUUGAUGAAAUUUCAAACCUAUAGAGGUUAGGUGUAUUUAGCCAAAAUCUCGAGAGAGAUUAAUGAAAUUAACUCCUCUUUCAAUUAUACUUUAUUCCCAUUUAUUCAUACAUUUUGUGGCAUUUUGAUUCAUCUAAUUUUUUUUUCUAUUCUUUGAUACUAUUUUAUCAUACCUUGAAUUUAUUCUUUUGCACCUUCAAUAGUUUUAUUGAAAGUUGACUUCUAUCACUUCAUUAUAGCCUAGUCCUAUCUCUUUUAAAUUUGGUUCAAUUAAUUCACAUGUCUAUCUCAUUUCGUAGUAGUUAGUUCUAUAUAUUUGUAGAUUUAUCUCAUUGUUUAUAUGUUCAUCCUAUUUGUUCAUACAUCAAUCUUAUUUAUUUAUGCUUUGCUCAAUUUUAUUGAAAUUUGGCUCAUUUAAUUGUAUGUAUGUUUCAUCUAUUCCUAUACGACUCAUUUUUAGUAAUUUCAUUAUACCUUGACAUUUCAAGAUUUUCAAGUGUCUUACUGAUUUCUAUGCGAGCGUAAAUAAUUAGCCCUAUUUUAUCUUUUAUUUAAUUCACUUUUAAGGAAUUAACAUUUCUCUUAUUAAAUUUGUAUUCAAAUGCUCAAACAAUGGGUAAUAGAAUACUCUAUCAAAUUAGUUAUAACAAAAUUUUUAAAAUAUAUAUAUAUAUAUAUAUAUAUAUAUAUAUAUAUAUAUAUAUAUAUAUAUAUAUAUAUAUAUUAUUUAUUCAGACAUAUUGUGUGAAAAAUAUAUAUAUUAUGAUUAAUACAUUGAAAAAGAUUUUUUUUUAAAAAAAAUAAAUUAAACGGAAAUCAAUUGAAGGCAGAACCGAGCUUACACAGUAAAGAAAAAAAUAAUAAUUAGGGCUCUAUUUGGUAACUGUUUUCGAAAACAAUUAUGAAAAAUAGCUUUUGAUAAUUGUUUUUGAAAAUUAGUUCAUAAUGUUUUAUAAAACAAAAGUCUGUUUAAAAACCUAAAAUGUUAUAAUCAAUUUUUAAUGUUUUUAAAUAUAUUUAAAAAAUAAUUUUUAUAUGUAUUAUUUUAUUAUACAAUUAUUUCUUAAAACAAUUCUUAAAAAACAAGUAAAAAUAGUUGAAAUAAAUUAAAAGAUAUUUUUAAAAAAUAUUAUAUUUCUAUUCUUGAUAAUAGAAAAUAUAUAAUUUUUUUUUUGUUCGUCAAAAACAUGUUUUACAAAUUUUAUUUUUUUUAAAGAAGAAAAUACUGUUCUCGAAAUUGUUUCCAAACAUACCCUAACACUGUGUUUUGUAAUAUAUCCUAACAGGUGACUCUUUCCGUAUCAGAUUUUACCUUCAAUUAUUUAAAGUAGGGAGAAUUGUGUUUUGGGCCCAAAAAUUAACAUUUGGUCCAUAGAUGUUACAAAUUAAGUCCAACACCCAAACAAAGUCUCAAAAUUGAUAAGAAGGAUAUACAAUGUAUAAUUUGUCGAAAAUGCCCUCUACUGGGUAUUUAAAAAAAAAAAAAACUAAAGUCCACAUUGAAUUUCUCCCUUUGUUUUCCCCAAAUUGGAGUCUGCAUUAGGCAUUUUCACAUUCCUGACUUCGUCCCUCGCUUCCGCCCAAAGAAUUCCCUAAUCCUCUAUGCCAAUCUCGUUAUCUCUCGAUCUCAUCUUUCUCGGCCAUCUGAUUUUAAGUGUCGGCAGUGGAGUUUUUCAUCUCUAUCGAUCCAUUGUCAUUGACGAUCACCACUGGAUUUGGCCUCCAUGGAAAAGUAGUUGAUAGUUGAGGUUAGUAGGUUCAGCAAUUUCAUUUUUUACUUCAUUUCGGCUAUCCAGACCAUUUGAUUUCAGCCCAAAUACAUUGCUCUAAUUUAUCUCGCUAUUUCAAUUUUCCAUAUAUUGUUCCCUCAUCGAUCCCCAUAGAUGGUGCCCUCCAUGCUAAGCAUUGUUGGAUAUUUGAGGUUAGGUGGGACUUUCUGGAGGUUGCUUGCUGUCUGAAUUGAGGAAGGAGCUUCUCUUGCCAUCAGGUAAAGUAGUCUUUUUUUUUAAGCUUAAACCCCAUAACUGAUUUUUUUGGUUUAACUUAUAUUUUUUUAUGGGUAUUUUUUUAUUUAGCAUUAUGAUUAUCAACUCUUUAUUUUGUGUGGAUGACUUGAUCUCCUGAUAGCCAUCUUUCAUUGUGGGUUAUGGUGUUUACAAGACAUGGCUCACAAUUUGAAAUAGUGAGCAUCUUCAUGGGUUAAUUGUAGUUGCAUGUCGUGGUAUCAACAGUUUUUGUUUAGAUAAUUAGGUUUGUGUUCAAUUUACAUGAUUGAUAGCCUUGACAUGCAAAACCCACUUCUUUUUAUUAACCUGUGAUUUCACCAUGAUUGACUUGUUUCUCAAUCAAUAUGAGAACCCGCGAUUGGCAUGAAUGAUAAUGGUGAUGAUGAAGAUGACAUAAAAAUAUAUUUUGAUUUUGUUCGGAUUUUACUUGGUUCAUUGAUGUUUGUUUGAUUUAGCAUUGCAUAUUCAUUUUAGAAGUUUGUUUAAUACGUGUAUUUUAAUUCUAAUAUAUGACUAGUCAAUGCAAAUUGAUUUUCCUUUUGCAGACAUAUUUUUCCUCAUUUGGUUCAAAUCAAAUCUUUUACAUUAUAUUUACUUCCUUGUGUGGCAGUCUAGUUCAGUACGAUAGUUCGUUUGUUAACUUUCUUCGGUAAAACCCAAGUUCUUGUCACCCUAUAGUAUGAGAUACUGUGGGCUACUUAGUAUGUGUAGAUAAAUUAUCAUUUCCAACUUCAUGAAAUCUGUAGCUAACAUGAAUAUAAAUGGCAAAUAAAGAAACAAAUCAGUUCAAAGCUAGUUCAAUGACCCUUAAUUCUAUUAAAUUAGACCAACAACUAGGGAUUUCAUACAUAACAAAUCAAUUAAGGAAUUUCUCAUUGAAAUCCAAAAUGGUUUCCAACAAUCAUUCUAGUGCCCAAACACCUCCUUCCAUGUUUACUAUUCACUGAUGUUGAAUAUCAAACGCAUGCAAGGUGUAUAUUAUUUUCAGCAUACAAUUCAACUAGAAUGAAAUUCAGAUAAAUUUGAAGCUAUCGCUCAAGACCUUUGGUCUCUACCCGAACCCGAUGAAAAAAAUGGGAUCACUUCUUAUGAAACAUAAAUCAUGGAUCCACUAAGUCCUCUCGAGUCAGGGAAAACCUCUGAAAUUAUUUCCAAGUCACUUCUUUUUUUGUCCAAGUUGCUUCAGCAGACUGCCGGUGAUAAGCCGGAGGAAGGUGAGGAUGACGUCAAGUCAUCAUUAUUGAGCAUAAGCCAAAACACUAACCACAUAGCCAUCAUCUGUCCAUUUAUGAGUGUCAAAAGUAAGUGAGAUGUUGCCAUUGGGAUCCAGAGGGUCAUAGCACUCUGCAAAAACAGAGAAAGAGUCAACCAACUUGUUAAAAAACAAAAUAAGUGAAGUAACAAAAAGAAAAGUCUAUGUAUAAAUGAUGGUUGAUAAACUGGACAUGGCGACUAAUAAUAAUGUCAACUUCAAAGAAAAAGCCCACAUGGGAGGAAAGAUCAACCCCAUUUUCUAUAAUAUGCAUAAUUUUUUGUUCUAUAGCUAUAUUUGUAUAGGUUGAUGGACAGAACUAAUAGGAUAUAUUGUUACAAUUUCGUGGGAGGUAAACUUGUCCAAAAAAAUGAUGGGUAAUGGGAAUACGUAGGUGGAAGAAGCAAAGGUAUUCACAUAUAUAAAGGAAUGCCAUUUAAAGAAUUCACCAAAAAAAUCUUAGUGAAAUUUGACAUCUCCUUUGAUGCGAUUAAGAUGCACUACACCCUCAAGUUCAACCCCAGAGUCAUCCAAGAUUUAGAAGAUGAGGAUGACUUGGAUAACGUGGUUUCCCACUGUGAUGACUUUGCAAAUGUAUACCUAGUAGACUUACCCUGCAUGGAAGCCAUUGAAGCAAAUAUACCAAAUACACAGUUGGCAUUUGGGUAAUGGACUUUAACAUGAAUGUCUAUUUAAAAUAUUGUGAAUAUCAAUUUUACACAUCACGUAGUCUAAUUAUGUUAAUGUAUGUAAAUGCAGAGGUCCACUUGCCACGUUUCCUUCCUCUAAUGCAUCAUGCGAUGGAAUUCCUAAUACUAUGAUGCUAUCCAAAGGUUUUGCGUCUCGUCGUGCAGAUAGUGAGUACACCCCUUUGGAAUCGAUUCGUUUUCGUCAGACAAUAUUAAGGUCGGGACAUACAUUUAAAAAUGUUGAGGAGUUUCGGAACAUAAUUUACCAGAUGUCAUUAGGUGAAAGGUUUGAAUACAAGUACAAGAAAAAUUCCCUUACACAUAUGUCUGUAAAGUGUUCAGUUAAGGGUUGUCCUUGGAAGAUAACAGCUCACGCUAUAGAAGAAAAUGUCAUCUUGCAAGUUCAUACUUACCAAGUGAAUCAUAAUCAUAUAGCUUAGGAUGAGUGUUCAUCUAAGGUCAAGGUUUCUUCAAAGAGAGGCACGAUUGUUGUUGAAGAUGUGUUUAGAACCACUCCAGACUAUCUUUCUCAUCAAAUUUGUAAGGAUUUUGAACGUGAUCAUGGAGUUCAAUUGACAUAUAACCAAGCAUGGCACCUUAAAGAGAAGGCAAAAGAGGGCAUAUAUGGAGCUCCAUGUGAGUCCUACAUGUUUGUCCCUUGAUUAUGCCAUAGGCUAAGGGAAAUCAACCCCGACACUAUCACGUAGUACACUUCCCAUGAAGGUCACUUCAUGCAAUUGUUCAUUGCCCACGCAUUUUCAAUUCAAGGGUUCAUCAUAGGGUGUCGACCAGUAUUAGCUAUUGAUUCUUGCCACCUAAGCGGUCCAUAUAAGGGAGCUCUUUUGUCCGCCAUUGCAUAUGAUGCAGAUGAUGGAAUGUUCCCUCUAGCCCUUGGUAUGGCCAAUUCUGAAAAUUAUGAGGAUUGGUAUUGGUUUUUGGAGAAAUUAAAGGAGGUCUUAGAUGUUAAAGAAGUUGUUAUUAUAUCAGAUAGACAUCAGGGAAUCUUGCAUAGUGUUUUCGAGUUGUUCAGGACAGGAAAUCAUGCAUAUUGUUAUCAAUAUGUGAAGGAAAACUUUUCUAACUUCUUGAAUAAGCAAAACAUUAGAGGAAAGAAAGGGAAAGAAGAUGUUUUGUUACUCUUGGACAACAUUGCGUAUGCUAGGUUGGAUAUAGACUACAACGAGGCAUUCCAAAAACUUGUGUGCUUCAAUGACAACCUAGCAAAAUGGGUUGCCGAAAACAAUCCCGAACAUUGGGCAAUGUCAAAGUUUCUUCGAAAACGAUGGGAUAAAAUGACAAUUAACAUUGCAAAGUCCUUCAAUGCGUGGUUAAGAGAUGAGCGUCACCAAACAAUUUAUACGUUAUUGUUAAUGCACAUGGAUAAGCUUGUAGUCAUGUUAAACACCCAUAUGCGUGGUACAGAAAAGUGGAAGAGCAUGGUCAGACCAAAAAUUGAAGAUCAGCUAAUGUCAAAUAUCAUGAGGUAUGGUCUGAUUAGUGUGUUGCCUUAUUUGGGGGGGACGUUUAAGGUGUUUACUGGGGAGGUUUAUUUAGUUGUUGAUUUGAAUCAACGUACGUGUACUUGCAUGACAUGGCAAAUGUCUAGCUUGCCAUGUUCACACAUAUGUGCCGUCAUCCGCACACUGAGACACAACAUGUAUGAGUAUAUUGACCCAUGUUUUCAUGUUUCCACACAACAUUUGAUUUACUCGGGUCAGUUUCAACUAUUACCAACACACAAUAUGCCCUAAGUUUGUGACAUUCCUGCUCUCCAACACCCCCAUGUGAGACGUCCUCCAAGAAGACCCCAACAAAGACACAUUGAGUCAUAGUUUAGCCAUAAGAGAGCAAUUCAUUGCUUUUGAUGCAAUGGCAUAGGUCACAACCGGUCUAAAUGUAAUAAUCUGUAGCCAUGACAUGUGCAUUUUUUUGUGCUUGUGUGAUUCUCAUAUUUUGUAUCAUCCCAUACAUUCUAUUGUAGGGUAUAUGGUACGGGGUUGUUGAUUUUCGUUCUUAUGUAUUGGCCUCAUUAUAGGCACAAUGCACUAUUUUGUUAUUUUCAUGAUUUAGAGUUGCUUUGAUUAACCAAAUUAAUUGAAAGUGCAAUUUCAAUGUGGUUUCUGUUCACUUGUUAUUUCAUUCCACCAGUGCAAAUAAAUGAGGAUGACAGUUUGUUAUUAAUUUAUUCACAUAUUGGGGUUCACAAUUCUUGUUUUUUCCAAUCCAAGGAGACUUCCCCUUUCCUUUUCUAAAUUGCCUUAUUGUUAUUUAUUUCAUUUAUUUUAACCUUAUAAAUCUGAAUAUGAUAUACCAUUACCAAAUUUAUCCAACCAAUUAAUGGUACAAAUUGUCAAAUGACCUUCCCCUUUAUUAUUAGCUUCUCCAGGUGACCGAUAACUACUAUAGCACCCAUUUCAAGUUACCGGUUCUUCGAAGGUUCAAGCUUACAACAAUAAUUUCAUUCUUCAAUGGCCAUUGCGGAGGUAAUGCAUUCUUUCUUGUUUUUUAAUUUUCAUCACUUAUUUCGGGGACUUGAUAUUUUAACCUACUUAAGACAGUUACUUGUUUUGGGUGUUAAAGAUUCAUUAUUACUUAAAAAUCCACUAGUAAAUUAUUCAUCCACAUUAAUUUGUUUGUUAGUUCAUUCAAUUGUAUUGUUUUCUUUACCACGUUUAUGUAUUCAUAUUGAUUUUCUUAUUUCUUUGUUGAUUACUUAAAUUCAUGUGUAAGAUACUAAUGAUCUCCAACAAUUUUUUUGUAGGCCACCAGAUUGUUCACACGUUGUUCAUCUUUAAGAUUCCUAAAACUAUGCAACAAGCUCCUAGUUGAGAAAUUGGAUGUGGUUCGAGACCUUCAGUUUGAAGGUCUUCUCAACUUAAACUGCAAGGAGAUACGACAUAAUAUAUGUCUAUGACUAAACUGAGGUCGGCAACUCAUUCCUCUUUUCUCUCAUUUUCUCAUUCCUUCACUUCCCUAUUACACCCGUUUUCAUGUUUAUUAUUAUUAUUAUUAUUAUUAUUAUCAUCAUCAUCAUCAUCAUCAUCAUCAUCAUCAUUAUUUCUUGGUUUGAUUUUAAUAGUAAUUGUUGUUGAAAUUGGGCUUGUGCAUUUAUUUCUGUUUGUGGGCCUUAUGUUCAAGCUUUGUUAAUUAAUAUGACAUUUGGGUUAAUUUAUUGUUGGUGAAUUAAUUUGAAAUUUGUUAAUUUGGGUUUGUGGGAUUAAUUUAGUAUAUUUGGACUAUAUCAAUUGCAUAUUGUUUAUUUGGACUUGGGCUAUUGUUAAUUCGUUAUUUGUUUAGGUUUAUUGGAUUGGGCUUGAAAUAUUAUUUCGCUUAUUAAUUGGUUAUUUGUUUGAGCUUAUUAGAUUGGACUUGAGAUAUUAUUUCUUUUGGCCAUGUGUAGAUAUUAUUUCUUUUUGCCAUAUGUAUUAUUAAUGUGGGCUUAUUAAUUGGUUAUUUGUUUGGGCUUAUUAGAUUGAGCUUGAGAUAUUAUUUUCUUUGGCCAUGUGUAUUAUUAAUGUGGGCUUGUUAAUUGAUGUGAAUUUUGGGCCCACAAGUAGGUGAGAUUUGUUAGAUGAUUUGAAUAUUUGAUAUGAGCUUGGCCAAUUUGAACUAUUUCAUUUGAACAUGGGACAAUUGUGGUGUAUAUUAAAUUGGGCUUGGAUUAUGGAAUAUUAAAUUUAGGCCUAAUGAGGUUUAUCUUAAUUUAUCAUGUUUUGGGUUUGAUUAAUUGAGCUUAUAUUUUGACUAUUAAUUUUGAAACUUUAGAUUAGGGUCUAUGAUACCUGAGAUACUUUUGUUGGGUUAUAUUUAUUAAUUUGAGCACAUUUUUAAUUGGUGAAAAUUAUUGGAAAUUUGAAUUUGGGCUUGAAUAGUUAUUUUGGACUCUACAUGUUUUUGGAUAUUUAUAUUUGUGCUAUUUUUGUUUUUGCAUGGGCCACUCUGCAACCUUAUUAGCUGAGUACGAAUUGAUGACACAUGAAGCUUGUUGUAAGUUUAUUUGAGUACAUAUUUUAUUUCCCACUUUUACUUGGUUUUAUUUUUAUUAGUUCUUAUAAAUAUUUGUUCAUAUAUGUUUAUUUGUUGCGUACAAAAUUGAAUAUCGAACAAAUUACAAAUUUUGUUUAAAUAAGAGGAAUAAUUUAGUAAAUAUGUUUUAAUAAAAUAAUAAUUUUAAAAUAUUCUCCUUAAUAAAAGAAAGUAUUUUUUUAUUUAUUUAAAAAAAUUUAGAAAAAUCCAAAAGAAUUGUUUUUAAUUGAAUUUAAAAAAUUGUUUUUCAUAAAAUUGUCUAAAAAUUGUUUUGUAAAUAAAGUUGUCCCAAAAAUUAAUUUUUAAUAAAAUCGUCCAAAAAAUAUUUUUUUUUUCUUUUUCCUUAAUUAAAAUGGGAUUAAAAACAUUUUUUUAGAAAUAGAGGAUUUAAUUUUUUUUUCUUCUUUUUAAUUAAAAUUUCUUUUGCAAAUAAAAUUGUCUUUUUAAAUAAUUUGUAUAAAUCGCUCUUUUUAAAAAAAAAUGAAAAUGAAUCAAAAUACUUUUGUAAAUAAAAUUGUAAAAAGUCACUCAAUUUUUUUUUUUUUUUGUAAAAGCAAGUAAAAUAAUUUUUGUGGCCAAAUUGAAAUUUUGUAAUAAAUUCUUUUGAUACAAUAAAUGUAAAUAACUUUUUUAAAAAUUGAAUACAAAUGAAAUUAAAUAAAUAAAUUGCAACUUCUUUUUUGUAAAUAGAUAAAUUAGAAUCAUUAAUUCAAAAUUAUUUUUUUUAUAAAAUCCUUUGAAAUUUCUUGAAAACCAUUUUUUUUAAUACCCCUUUUUUAGUUCAAUAAAUCAUAUUUGCACAAUUCUCUUAUUAUUCAUUUCAUGUAUUCUUAUAAUUAGAUUUCAUCACUAUUUUUUCAUAUAUUGAUUUUCAUCAUGACUUGUACAUUGAUUAUUUUUCUUGGUAUCCAUAAUUAAUUAAUUAAUUCCCUUGAUUCGUUUAGUAGAUUUCAUAUGUAUACGGGCUUAGAGGGGUGUUAGGGCUCACCACCGUACCUUUCCAAUAAGAAACCUGACCCCCGAACCCGACUUUGGUUUUCCACAGACCCGUUUUUUCUUCAGGAGUCACACUUAGGGUUUUCCUUUCUUAUUUUGUUUUUCCUUUUAAAAAAAAAAUUAAAAUAAGUGGCGAUUCCAAGUCUUUUUCUAAAAAUCAAUUUUUCACUAAACAAAUAAAAAAGCAAGUCACAUCAUCGAGUGGGAACGCACGUGAAAAUGCGGGAUCCACACCUGUCCAAUUUAAUCUUUAAAUGAUUGAGAAACUAUUUGAAAUACCAAUAUCCAUAUGUAUUUAUUUUUCAUUAAUAUAGGUAAUCAUUUUCAUAUUAAAAGAAAAAAGAAAUCAUUUGCUAUCAACUCUUUCCAUGAUCAAAGCUAAAAAAACUUUAAUUCUAAAUCGUCAUCUCCAUUCCAAUCAUCUUCCUCGUCUUUAUUUUCUUUAUUACAAGACUCAAAACAACUACCUCCUAAUUCAAAAAGCUAUAAUUAGAAUCCUUUGAGUCUAUAUAUUAAUCUCUUCCAUGCCCGGAUGCCUUGAUCUGCAUUGAUGAGAUAUUACUCUUUUCUAUAGUUAAUUUCUUAAAUUCAUACCAACGCAUCAAAUAGUUUGAGACCAUUAAUUUGCUAUUAAGGCAUCGUGGUUGUAGAAAAAAAGAUACAUAUUGCCUAAAAAUUAAUUAAAUUUCCAUCAACUUAUAUCUCAAAUGGAGGGUUCUCCCUAUUAGUGAUUCAAUUGAACAAAUUCUUAUAAAACUUCUUAUGUUUAUUUAUUCCGGUAAAACAAAUUAAUAGGUUUUGUAGAUUUUUAAGCAUAUGGUUUAUUUUAUUAUUAGUCCAGCUCCCCAUAGGAAAAUAUCCGAUUGUGCAUUCAUUGAUCAAUGAGAUUGACAUACAAUUAAAUCCAUGCCCUUGUAAACGUCUUCACUAAAUAAGAAAGAGAGAACACAUUUCCUAGUUUGAAAAGUCAAAUUUCUUAAGAUAUUAUUAUUUGACCAUUGAAAUAAAGCAGAUAAGUUAAUUGGAGCCUACAAUGCACCUUUCCCUUUCAUAUCACUUUGCUGUCCAUCAUGUCUUCGAUAAAACGCCCUAAAGAAAAGUGUGAGGAUCCACCAUCUAUCUUGACUUUUCUACUUAUUUUUUUCAUUUCUUUCCUCUUCUUCCUCACUUCACUAUUAAUAUUCAUUAGGUUCCUUAAUCCAUUUUCAAUCUCAUGAGCACUUACAACAUAAUCACUAUCCUUAUUAUAAUCUAUUUUAAUUUCUAUUGCCAGCCCCAAAUCUUUCACCAUUUGAAAUGCGUUGAUUUGUUGUUCUGCAUACAUUGACCAAGUGGCUACAGGAACACCGUACCAUAUGCUUUCUAGCAAAGAAUUCCAUCCACAAUGAGAUACAAAUCCUCCAACAGCUGAGUGGGCUAAAACUGCUAUCUGUGGAGCCCAUCCAAUCACCUUUCCAAUUCUAGCCGUCCGAUGUAAAAAUCCUUCUGGUAGAACUUCCUCAAUAUUUUCAUAGCCGCUUGAAAAUUCCAUUUUACCCUUUUGGGGAG
Molecule: long non-coding RNA, 21019 nt
Filed under: Vitis vinifera (wine grape)
Lineage: Eukaryota; Viridiplantae; Streptophyta; Magnoliopsida; Vitales; Vitaceae
Description: long non-coding RNA (VVIN_LNC003853)
Source: RNAcentral